Molecule: ribosomal RNA, 269 nt
Filed under: uncultured prokaryote
Description: partial 16S ribosomal RNA
Rfam family: Bacterial small subunit ribosomal RNA
Source: RNAcentral
UACAGAGGAUGCGAGCGUUGUUCGGAAUCACUGGGCUUAAAGCGCGUGUAGGCGGAUCGGUCAGUGUCCUGUGAAAGCCCCCGACUCAACCGGGGAACUGCAGGGCAUACUGCCGGUCUUGAGGCAGGUAGGGGUGCGCGGAACUCUAGGUGGAGCGGUGAAAUGCGUAGAUAUCUAGAGGAACGCCGGUGGCGAAAGCGACGCACUGGGCCUGUACUGACGCUGAGACGCGAAAGCGUAGGUAGCGAACGGGAUUAGAUACCCCCGUA